GGCAAGGGUUGCCUAGUAACGGCGAGUGAAGCGGCAACAGCUCAAAUUUGAAAGCUAGCCUUCGGGUUCGCAUUGUAAUUUGUAGAGGAUGAUUUGGGGAAGCCGCCUGUCUAAGUUCCUUGGAACAGGACGUCAUAGAGGGUGAGAAUCCCGUAUGUGACAGGAAAUGGCACCCUAUGUAAAUCUCCUUCGACGAGUCGAGUUGUUUGGGAAUGCAGCUCUAAAUGGGAGGUAAAUUUCUUCUAAAGCUAAAUAUUGGCGAGAGACCGAUAGCGCACAAGUAGAGUGAUCGAAAGAUGAAAAGCACUUUGGAAAGAGAGUUAAAAAGCACGUGAAAUUGUUGAAAGGGAAGCGCUUGCAAUCAGACUUGUUUAAACUGUUCGGCCGGUCUUCUGACCGGUUUACUCAGUUUGGACAGGCCAGCAUCAGUUUCGGCGGCCGGAUAAAGGCUCUGGGAAUGUGGCCUCCACUUCGGUGGAGGUGUUAUAGCCCAGGGUGUAAUACGGCCAGCCGGGACUGAGGUCCGCGCUUCGGCUAGGAUGCUGGCGUAAUGGUUGUAAGCGACCCGUCUUGAA
Molecule: ribosomal RNA, 575 nt
Filed under: Aureobasidium pullulans
Lineage: Eukaryota; Fungi; Ascomycota; Dothideomycetes; Dothideales; Saccotheciaceae
Description: partial large subunit ribosomal RNA
Rfam family: Eukaryotic large subunit ribosomal RNA
Source: RNAcentral